AGUUUUGUGCAGUGGCAGUAUCAUAGCCAAUGAGGUUUAUCCAAGGUGUGAUUAUUGCUAAUUGAAAAACAAAAAAGAAAAUGACUGGGGUAUAAAUAAGUACUCUUCCAGUCUAAUAAGUGAAUAUUAAACAUUCAA
Molecule: small nuclear RNA, 138 nt
Organism: Callithrix jacchus (white-tufted-ear marmoset)
Lineage: Eukaryota; Metazoa; Chordata; Mammalia; Primates; Cebidae
Gene: U4
Rfam family: U4 spliceosomal RNA
About the family: U4 small nuclear RNA (U4 snRNA) is a component of the major U2-dependent spliceosome. The structure of U4 snRNA from yeast and human has been reported.
Source: Ensembl